Molecule: long non-coding RNA, 1296 nt
Organism: Pistacia vera
Lineage: Eukaryota; Viridiplantae; Streptophyta; Magnoliopsida; Sapindales; Anacardiaceae
Exons: 3
Source: RefSeq, a predicted model, not a curated record
UGAAACACAGAUAAGAAUCAGAAGAGGACUCGGCAAAAGAGAUGGUGGUUCUUUUAACAAGAUUAUUUCAACCGGUUCUUCAUCUGGCCUUCUGGAAUUCCUUGGUAUUUGAUUGGUAUAAAAAUUUCUGGAUGUAAAAGAGAACUCAGAUUGUCUUAUGCAAUUCCGAAUCAGCUCAACAUGGUUAGAGUUCAACGGCAUCAAAAUUUCUGAGAAAAGCAGAGACACAUCUUGGCAUUUCACUACACAUGCAUUGACUCAAUAUCGUUGAGGAUAACUUACUUUUUGUCUGAGAUAGUGAACUACAGGCCUUAACAACAAAAGUAAUUCCAUAUUCUAACAGCAAGUAAGAUCUUUUAUUGCUUGUUUAUUCUAGUGCAGGCAACUUCUUGAUGGAAUUUUUAUUCUUUUGAAUUAUUCAGUUUAUUAGUCGCUGCUAAUGAACAAUGGUGAAAGUAGAAAUUAGGUUAAAUUGAUAUGUGAGUUAAUCAGAUCCAAAGCAAGCGUUGGAAUGAUUGAAGAUUUGUGUCUAAUGGUGAUUAUCAGUCUAAUAGCAUUAGCAGGGUUGACCUGCACCCGCUAAUAGUGUUUUAAAACUCGGCUCGGCUUGACCGGUUGAACCGGUUUAAUCGGGAUUGGGGGCUUUCAUCGGGUUGAGUUACCAAUUUCUUUGUUCAUCGAAAACCCUAGACAUUGGGAUGAUGAUCAGCGAACAAUUGAAGGUUGGGAUGUUGGGGCUUUUGAAGAGAAAGGGUCGGUAGGGCUGGUUGGUGCAAUGAUGGUGAUGGAGGUGAUUUUCGGUGAGUGAAUAGAUCGGAAAUAAAAAAAAAAAGCGACGGCAGUAGUAGUCGGCUUUUGCCGGCGAUUGGCGAGGCGAACAUGGUUGGGGUGAGAUGAGUUUUGGUCAGGAGACUGAGGGGAGUACUUUCGGGGUGAUGGCGAUGGUUAUCGACGCUGAUGGUUCGAUUUUGGCCAGAUUUUGGGUAUAUUUUAUGGGGAAUGGGCUAAAGGGAUGGUUGGGAUUGCAUUUGGUGUGUCGUUGUUGCCAAUCGAUCGACUAUCGAUUUAUAUUUGAGGUGUGUUUGUUACAUUUCAAACUUGUAGGGACUUAAUUGUGAUUUUACAUUUGCGUUUGUUGAAUUUUAAACUUUUGAACAUUCGGUUAAACCAAUCCACCUAGGAUCCAACAACUUUGUCAGGUUUCACCUGAGAUGGUUAUUAAAACAUUGCCUGCUAAUACUGAAAUAUGACCUGCCCCAGCUAGUACUGAAAUGUUGCUAUGUGAAUAAACAAAUA